Molecule: unclassified non-coding RNA, 343 nt
Filed under: soil metagenome
Description: partial contains 5.8S ribosomal RNA, internal transcribed spacer 2, and large subunit ribosomal RNA
Rfam family: 5.8S ribosomal RNA (bases 1-120)
Source: RNAcentral
GAUGAAGAACGUAGCGAAAUGCGAUAAGUAAUGUGAAUUGCAGAAUUCAGUGAAUCAUCGAAUCUUUGAACGCACAUUGCGCCCGCCAGCAUUCUGGCGGGCAUGCCUGUUCGAGCGUCAUUUCAACCCUCGACCUCCCUUUGGGGAAGUCGGCGUUGGGGACCGGCAGCACACCGCCGGCCCUGAAAUGGAGUGGCGGCCCGUCCGCGGCGACCUCUGCGUAGUAAACCAACUCGCACCGGAACCCCGACGUGGCCACGCCGUAAAACACCCAACUUCUGAACGUUGACCUCGAAUCAGGUAGGACUACCCGCUGAACUUAAGCAUAUCAAUAAGCGGAGGA